UAUUAUUCAGCAAUAUUGUACGUUCCCCUAGUUUCUUAAGAUAUCUUACAUAUUGAUCGAUUUGAUUCAUUUUUGCAGCGCGACAUAUUAUUACCAGAAAAAGAAGCUCAAUUAAGACUUACAAAUUUACUGAUAUUAUAGUAUAAAGUAUUCCAGAAAUUAUAAUCUGUUAUUAUUUAAAUGGGUGCUAGAAAUAUUAACCGGAUUUUAAGAGAACUAUUGACCUGGUGUUAACCAACACUGGUUCUUGGCACUGAGGUUCACAUACAGUUGCGAGAAAAAUAAUAGCAGUCCCUUGAAGAACAUACUAUCUACCAGUGUAGUUUUACUAUUUUUAAGUGUUUUCAUUUUUUCUUUUUGCUAAAGCGUUAACUCACACUAGUAUUCGCAGUUAGUCAUGUUCGAAUAACGGUAGGUUGGCAUCAUAUUUUCAUAUGUUAAUUUCACUGAUGCUAAGUGGUUUGUAUGGCGAGCACAUUAAUAGCAGCGUUUAAUUGUUCUCUGAAUAUAAUUGAAAAUUUGAUAUAUACGAUUUUUAAAAUGGGUCGUGGAAAACAUUGCAGCACGGAGAAACGCAAUUUGAUAAAUAAUCUGAUAAGUGCAGGUAAAACUUAUAAAGAAGUAAGAAAA
Bactrocera latifrons is the source of this 630-nucleotide long non-coding RNA. RefSeq lists it as uncharacterized. The transcript is spliced from 2 exons. NCBI's taxonomy places the organism in Eukaryota, Metazoa, Arthropoda, Insecta, Diptera, Tephritidae. The record is from RefSeq and is a predicted model, not a curated record.